AACUCAUGGUGAGGACACCUUCUCAAUAAAUCCUUGUAUCUCUCCCAUGCAUUAUAUAAGGUCUUUGUAUCGAUCUGAACAAAGGAAGAGAUGUCGUUCCUCAACUU
Molecule: non-coding RNA, 107 nt
Organism: Gossypium hirsutum (cotton)
Lineage: Eukaryota; Viridiplantae; Streptophyta; Magnoliopsida; Malvales; Malvaceae
Source: Rfam